UGAACGCUGGCGGCAGGCUUAACACAUGCAAGUCGAGCGGAAACGAUGAUAGCUUGCUAUCAGGCGUCGAGCGGCGGACGGGUGAGUAAUGCAUGGGAAUCUGCCCGAUAGAGGGGGAUAGCCCGGGGAAACCCGGAUUAAUACCGCAUAUGCCCUACGGGGAAAAGCAGGGGAUCUUCGGACCUUGCGCUAUCGGAUGAGCCCAUGUCGGAUUAGCUAGUUGGUGAGGUAAAAGCUCACCAAGGCGACGAUCCGUAGCUGGUCUGAGAGGAUGAUCAGCCACACUGGGACUGAGACACGGCCCAGACUCCUACGGGAGGCAGCAGUGGGGAAUAUUGCACAAUGGGCGCAAGCCUGAUGCAGCCAUGCCGCGUGUGUGAAGAAGGCUUUCGGGUUGUAAAGCACUUUCAGUGGGGAGGAAGGCCUAUUACUUAAUACGUGAUUGGAUUGACGUUACCCACAGAAGAAGCACCGGCUAACUCC
Molecule: ribosomal RNA, 483 nt
Filed under: uncultured bacterium
Lineage: Bacteria
Description: bacterial SSU rRNA
Rfam family: Bacterial small subunit ribosomal RNA
Source: RNAcentral